UGGGGAAUUUUUGGACAAUGGGCGAAAGCCUGAUCCAGCAAUGCCGCGUGUGUGAAGAAGGCCUUCGGGUUGUAAAGCACUUUUGUCCGGAAAGAAAUCCUUGGCUCUAAUACAGUCGGGGGAUGACGGUACCGGAAGAAUAAGCACCGGCUAACUACGUGCCAGCAGCCGCGGUAAUACGUAGGGUGCAAGCGUUAAUCGGAAUUACUGGGCGUAAAGCGUGCGCAGGCGGUUUGCUAAGACCGAUGUGAAAUCCCCGGGGCUCAACCUGGGAACUGCAUUGGUGACUGGCAGGCUAGAGUAUGGCAGAGGGGGGUAGAAUUCCACGUGUAGCAGUGAAAUACGUAGAGAUGUGGAGGAAUACCGAUGGCGAAGGCAGCCCCCUGGGCCAAUACUGACGCUCAUGCACGAAAGCGUGGGGGAGCAAACAGGAUUAGAUACCCUGGUAGUCCACGCCCUAAACGAUGUCAACUAGUUGUUGGGGAUUCAUUUCCUUAGUAACGUAGCUAACGCGUGAAGUUGACCGCCUGGGGAGUACGGUCGCAAGAUUAAAACUUAAAGGAGUUGACGGGGUCAUAGCUGUUUCCU
This 588-nucleotide ribosomal RNA is filed under the name uncultured bacterium. Its description in RNAcentral is "partial 16S ribosomal RNA". It matches the Rfam family "Bacterial small subunit ribosomal RNA", at positions 355 to 1375 of the family's 1533-position model. The record is from RNAcentral.